Molecule: long non-coding RNA, 1153 nt
Filed under: Naja naja (Indian cobra)
Lineage: Eukaryota; Metazoa; Chordata; Lepidosauria; Squamata; Elapidae
Description: lncRNA (ENSNNAG00000008047.1)
Source: RNAcentral
AUGAUUCCAGCACUUCAAAACCGGUGGUGUUUAAUGACUAUCAUAGUGUCCUGGGGUUAUGAUUGCCAUUUGUGCCUUUCACAGCUGACAAGCAGAAUCGAUGGAGAAGCUGACAGUAAAAGCGCAAGUUGCAGUCACGUGUCUUGCUUAACAACCAUGGGUGAUUCCCUUAACUAUUGCAAUGGAAGUGAGGAAGAUGGAUUCUGGUUGAAAAUUAAGAGAAAGCUAUUAGUAAGAACACUUCGAAAAUGAAACUACUCUCCUCCUCCUUCACUGGUUGUAGCCAAGGAGAUAAUGGACAGCCAUCUGUCAGGGAUACUUUCCAACACUAUGAUUCUAUAACUAUGACUAGAUUUAUUUCUAAAUAAAUAUAUGUCGGUGUCGCGCACACGCACGCGCCAGCCAGCACAGCUCUGUACCAUGGAAGAGGCGGAUGCGCCGGUUUGGGGAUUCUGCAGAUCAGAGGCGUGUCACCGCCGCUGCCCUGCCAGAUGACAACGUGGGUGGAGAUCCAAGUGACAGCAAUGAUCUUGACGGAUACACAGAUAUACGGGGGGAGGUGUUUUGUGUAGAACGGGAUAUUGCAGAGAAGCUGUUGGUGUUAGGAUGGGAGUUUGUGCAGUAACGGGGGUGGUUUAAAUAAUGAAGCAUAGUACUUGCUCAUAAUGAGGGUAUAAGUAAGGAGCUCCGGAUAUUAACUCCAAUGACAUAAUUGGAUAAUAAGUGGUUGUAAGGGGAAGUAUGCAUAAAUACAGGACCAUGUUUAAGCUAAGUUAGAGCUGACUUUAUUUAUUUUGCUUCACUGUUUCCUGGUGUCCUUGCAAGAAAACGAUUAAACCACCUUACAAAACUUUGAAAGACUUGGUUUUAUCAACGCAGCAGACCCAGAGGGCGGUUGAGAGUUGGAUUGAGACAGAUAAGAUCUGGUCAGUUAUUAUUAUUUUUAUUUAUUGGAUUUCUAAGCUGCCCCAUCUCCCCAAGGACUCGGGGCGGCGUACAGUAAAACAAUAUAAAUAUACAAUCAAAAGAAGAUCAAAUCUCAUAGAAACCCAAAAUAUAAUUAAAACAUUAAAACAAUUCUAAAAAUUCCCCAUAUAGCCCAUCCUCAGUCCAGGUCAGUAAGUUGGAAUAACCAUGUUUUUAGGCCCCGGUG